AAGUCGUAACAAGGUCUCCGUUGGUGAACCAGCGGAGGGAUCAUUAAAAGAAGCCGAAAGGCUACUUAAAACAAUUGCGAACCCGUCCAGGUUGCUUCGGCGGCGCGGAGCCCCCUCUACCAGGGGCGCCGUAGCUCUGCCCCCCGGGAUUCCGGGGACGCGGGGCGCCCGCCGGAGGUACGAAACUCUAUAUUGAAACCGAAUCUCUGAGAAACAAGCAAACAAGUUAAAACUUUCAACAACGGAUCUCUUGGUUCUG
Molecule: unclassified non-coding RNA, 259 nt
Filed under: fungal sp.
Lineage: Eukaryota; Fungi
Description: partial internal transcribed spacer region
Rfam family: Eukaryotic small subunit ribosomal RNA (bases 1-46)
Source: RNAcentral